Molecule: long non-coding RNA, 1418 nt
Filed under: Sus scrofa (pig)
Lineage: Eukaryota; Metazoa; Chordata; Mammalia; Artiodactyla; Suidae
Description: lncRNA (ENSSSCG00055014421.1)
Source: RNAcentral
ACUUUAGGUCUUUUCUGUUCUCUCUUGAGCUGCUUUAGAUAUAAAGUUAGCUUGUUUAUUUUGAGCUUUUUAUUUUUUCCUGAGGUGGGCUUGUAUUGCUAUAAACUUUCCUCUUAGAAUGGCUUUUGCUGCAUCCCAUAGGUUUUGGAGUGUCAUAUAUUCGUUGUCAUUUGCUUCUAGGUAUUUUUUAAUUUCCUCUUUGAUUUCUUCAGUGAUCCAUUGGUUGGAUCUAGAGGUGAUGUUUUUGGUAAACAGGCGGGGUUUGUGUUUGCCGAGUUCCUUUUACUUCUUUUAAUCUUUCCUUGGUGCACUCCUGUGUUGGGUUAACAAUAUAAUUAAUAAACGUUUUAGUGUUAUUUUGGUUUAUUGGUUGUUAAUUAUCAGUAUAUUAUUAGUUACUGAUGUAAGCGUGUGCGAGGAGAAAGGCUUCUUGUUACUCAUAUUAACAUUAUUGCUUCUAUGUUUCAAUAGAUUAGUCCGAUAUUGGGCUAGGAGUUUGCUAUUAGUUAUUGGAAUUAUAUUGGUGGGUUUGUUGAGCUUUAACGCUUUCUCAAUUGAUGGCUGCUUUUAGGCCUACUAUGGUAGUAUUAAGAUUUUACUCUCUAGUCAAGGUUUUACCCGUUUCUAAAAAGCUGUACCUUUUUAGACUAUCUCUUAAAAAUACAUUGGAAUUUAAGGUUUUUGCUGAAUUGGCAAGAGUUGGUAAGGUCUAUCGGGGUUUAUCGAUUAUAGAACAGGCUCCUCUAGGUAGAUGUGAAGCACCGCCAAGUCCUUUGAGUUUUAGGCUGUUGCGAGUAGUACUCUGGCGAAUAGUUUUGUUAUAUAACUAUUUGGGCAUGUUGUUGAGUCUCCAUGUGUUUGUGUUUUUUGCAGUUUUUUUCUUGUUGAUUUCUGGUCGUAUAACAUUGUGGUCAGAAAAGAUGCUUGAUAUGAUUUCAAUUUUCUUAAUGUUACUGAGCUUGGACUUGUAGCUCAGGAUGUUAUCAAUCUUAGAGAAUGUUCCAUGUGCACUUGAGAAGAAUGUGUAUUCUGUUGCUUUUGGAUAGAAUGUCCUAUAAAUAUCUAUUAAGUCCAUCUGGUCUAAUGCUUCAUUCAGGACCUGUGUUUCCUUAUUGAUUUUCUGACUGGUUGAUCUGUCCAUUGCUGUAAGUGGGGUGUUAAAGUCCCCCACUAUGAUUGUGUUAUUGGCGAUUUGUCUUUUUAAGGUUGUUAGCAGUUACCUUAUAUAUUGUGGUGAACCUGUGUUGGGUGCAUAGAUAUUUAAAAUUGUUAUAUCUUCUUCUUGGAUUGAUCCUUUGAUAAUUAUGUAAUGUCCUUCCUUGUCCCUGAAAAUAUUCUUCAGUCUAUUUUGUCUGAUAUGAGAAUUGCUACUCCAGCUUUCUUUUGAUCCCCGUUUGCAUGAAAUAUUUUCUUCCAUC